UGGAUGUUUCCUCCCCAAGGGGAGAUUUACAAAUUUCAUACGAACUGUUCCUGUAGGAAAUGCUUUCUCUGAUUGCCACAGAAAUGGCUGUGGAAGGAAAGAGGUUAGAGGGUAUGGUUCACUUCAGAUUUGUCCAGGAUAUGCAUAGCUGAAGAUGCACUUUGGUUUUAAGAUAACUCCUGUGCCAUAUUCCAUAAACAUGAACUGCCUGUAUGUGAGAUGGCUUAAAAAUAACUGGAAAUCUCUCAUCUGCAGCCUGUCUUUUUGCAGUUCUUUGCUCUUGGUGCUGCUGAGUGCUCAGACACUCCAGAGCGAUGCUGGAGGUAAGAGCUACCAAAGAACACUGCAAAUAGUUAUGCCCUCUUCUACAAACAGGCACACUGUUUGAACCUGCAUUUAGCAGGAGUUCAAGCAGUUUCUCAGUCCCUUAAUAGCUACAAGGCAUAAGGCAAGGACAAAGGAGCCAGGGCAUAAAUUAACACGCAUGUGGAAAUCCUGACUCAGAAAAGCAUGCUAGGGGAUCAAGGCAAGGCCUAAAGUGCUUCUGAGCACUGGGUUCAUUUAUUCACCAGGAAGAUCAAGGAGAUUUAUCUUCAGAAGAAGCAGAAGUAAUAACGUGGUCAUCAGCAAGAUUUCUCCAAGUACUUACUCCCAUAAAUAUCCACUGGGACGAUAGAGUUCCCUAAUGGAAUGGUGUUGAAAGAGUUGCCAGAAUAAUUAGUUUUCUAUUAGGAUACACAAGACAUUUGAUACCUUUCAAAACUGUUGUUUUGGUCUCUCCACAGGCACAAAUACCGUGGUUAUUCUGGAUUUGCCUACUUACAUUUUUCUUCAGAGCAGAGAGGUUUACAAGAGCCCUAUUUUUAAUUUAAGAUCCUGAGAUAAUUACAUGACUUCAGUAGGCAAGAGACUCAUUGUACUGUGACUCAAUCCAGGCAGGCAUGCAAGUAAGAGACUAGACAAGGCACUAAGAAAUAAUAAGAAAGCUCUUUUUUGUACACAAAAAGUCACAUUAAACUCGUAUUAAAAAGGCUGGAAAUUGAAGAACUUGGCAAUCACAAAACAGCAGAAUGGAGGUUGAUUCUACAAAUGUUAAUUAGCCCUUUUGCCCAUUUAUAUUAUUAUAAACCCCUUAAUUACCUGAUCAGAUCUUUUUCCAGAGGACUUCUGUCUUGAGGUUAGAUAUCACUGCCAGCUUUUUUUUUUAUCAUUAGCUUACUUUUUAACAGGGAACAUGAACUGAAUGUAGCAAUUGCUUUCCAUUAAUUUUUCUGUUUUAUGGUGAUCUGUUCUUAUAGUACAAGGCUGCAGGGAAUACCAGAGAGCACACCCCACACAAAGAACCCUAUCCUGCAGCUUUCCACAAGUCUGGCAGAGAAGGCUGCUACAUGUAGGCUGCAGGUGUCUGCCCUCUGUGAAGUGGAUGGAAAGCAGAGGAUGCAGGCUGGGGUCUGGAUGGUGAUGUGCUGCUGCUCCAGGAACUGAGAAAUAGCAGCUGGGUGACAAUGGUUCCAGAGCUGCCGUGGAAGGGCAGGGGGUGACACUGAGGAACACUGCAUGGAGCCUUUUGUUAGAUGCAACAUCAAGGCAAGGAAGGUGCUACAAGAAAUGGGAAGAGUCAUUACAUGCGACCAAAGGUUUUAUGUGGAUCAGGCUCAGCUGGUACAGACUCACGUUUCAGUGUUUAGCAGCAAAGGCAGCGAAGAUGCAGAAACAUCCCUGAGCACAUUGCAGGUGUGUCCCAUUAUUAAAGCCAUCGCUCUGUCCUGUCACGUAUCCCCAAAGGCUGGUGGCUCUUCUGGAG
Molecule: non-coding RNA, 1804 nt
Organism: Phasianus colchicus (ring-necked pheasant)
Lineage: Eukaryota; Metazoa; Chordata; Aves; Galliformes; Phasianidae
Source: RefSeq, a predicted model, not a curated record